AGAUGGUGACCGGCGCACGGGUGAGUAACACGUAUCCAACCUGCCGAUAACUCGGGGAUAGCCUUUCGAAAGAAAGAUUAAUACCCGAUGGCAUAAUAGAACCGCAUGGUUUGUAUUAAUUAAAGAAUUUCGGCUAUCGGAUGGGGAUGCGUUCCAUUAGGCAGUUGGUGGGGUAACGGCCCACCAAACCUUCGAUGGAUAGGGGUUCUGAGAGGAAGGUCCCCCACAUUGGAACUGAGACACGGUCCAA
RNAcentral lists this ribosomal RNA (250 nucleotides) under uncultured bacterium. Its description in RNAcentral is "partial 16S ribosomal RNA". It matches the Rfam family "Bacterial small subunit ribosomal RNA", at positions 86 to 334 of the family's 1533-position model. The record is from RNAcentral.